AACGAACGCUGGCGGCAUGCCUAACACAUGCAAGUCGAACGAGACCUUCGGGUCUAGUGGCGCCCGGGUGCGUAACGCGUGGGAACCUGCCCUUAGGUUCGGAAUAACUCCCCGAAAGGGGUGCUAAUACCGGAUAAUGUCUUCGGACCAAAGAUUUAUCGCCUUUGGAUGGGCCCGCGUUGGAUUAGCUAGUUGGUAGGGUAAAAGCCUACCAAGGCGACGAUCCAUAGCUGGUCUGAGAGGAUGAUCAGCCACACUGGGACUGAGACACGGCCCAGACUCCUACGGGAGGCAGCAGUGGGGAAUAGUGGACAAUGGGCGAAAGCCUGAUCCAGCAAUGCCGCGUGAGUGAUGAAGGCCUUAGGGUUGUAAAGCUCUUUUAACCGGGAUGAUAAUGACAGUACCGGGAGAAUAAGCUCCGGCUAACUCCGUG
Molecule: ribosomal RNA, 433 nt
Filed under: uncultured bacterium
Lineage: Bacteria
Description: partial 16S ribosomal RNA
Rfam family: Bacterial small subunit ribosomal RNA
Source: RNAcentral